RNAcentral lists this ribosomal RNA (576 nucleotides) under uncultured bacterium. RNAcentral's name for it is "partial 16S ribosomal RNA". It matches the Rfam family "Bacterial small subunit ribosomal RNA", at positions 355 to 923 of the family's 1533-position model. The record is from RNAcentral.
UGGGGAAUUUUGGACAAUGGGCGAAAGCCUGAUCCAGCAAUGCCGCGUGUGUGAAGAAGGCCUUCGGGUUGUAAAGCACUUUUGUCCGGAAAGAAAUCCUUGGCUCUAAUACAGUCGGGGGAUGACGGUACCGGAAGAAUAAGCACCGGCUAACUACGUGCCAGCAGCCGCGGUAAUACGUAGGGUGCAAGCGUUAAUCGGAAUUACUGGGCGUAAAGCGUGCGCAGGCGGUUUGCUAAGACCGAUGUGAAAUCCCCGGGCUCAACCUGGGAACUGCAUUGGUGACUGGCAGGCUAGAGUAUGGCAGAGGGGGGUAGAAUUCCACGUGUAGCAGUGAAAUGCGUAGAGAUGUGGAGGAAUACCGAUGGCGAAGGCAGCCCCCUGGGCCAAUACUGACGCUCAUGCACGAAAGCAUGGGGAGCAAACAGGAUUCAGAUACCCUGGUAGUCCACGCCCUAAACGAUGUCAACUAGUUGUUGGGGAUUCAUUUCCUUAGUAACGUAGCUAACGCGUGAAGUUGACCGCCUGGGGAGUACGGUCGCAAGAUUAAAACUCAAAUGAAUUGACGGGGUCAUA